Molecule: long non-coding RNA, 684 nt
Filed under: Numida meleagris (helmeted guineafowl)
Lineage: Eukaryota; Metazoa; Chordata; Aves; Galliformes; Numididae
Description: lncRNA (ENSNMEG00000007110.1)
Source: RNAcentral
UCAUCUCCUACUGCCAUACCACCCCCAUCCUCCUCUGAUGUCAUGGGCAAACAUCAUAAAGCAGAAGGCAUUAUCAUUUGCGCAGUCUUUGUAUAUGCAGACUUUCCAUCUAACUGCACACCAGAUUGGCCAGUGAAAAUGAAACCAAACGUACCAUAAGAUUUCAUGGAAACAAAUGAGAGGAGGAUGAUCUACUUUACACUUACUACUGCAAAUAACUGACUGUAUUGCACUGUACAGCUGACUGUACAGCUCCUUGGUGAAUAACACAGACAUAUGAGUUGAUUCAUCCUCACACACAGAAAUAUUUUCUCAUCUGAUGGAAUAUGUCAUCAUAUGUUCAAAGAUGGCAAUGGAAUGUGAAAUGAGAGAAAUAUGAAACAAACAAAAAGACUGAUGCAGAUAAUUCACAUGGCAGUAUUCGGGGAAGGAAAGAAAAGAAGAGAUGGUCAUGAUGUGGGAAGAUGUAAGAGGCACAGGAACACACAACAGAUAUUCAUAAGAAAUUGCUGCUUAUGGAAUUGCUUGCUUGUUGUUAACCUUCUUGUCAGUACCUUAUUUUUACGAGGGCAUUAUAAUGCAAUUCAUCUGAGACCUUGCUUCUCUACUGCCAUGGUACCACCCCCAAAGAUGUCACAUUUUCUGUAUCUGAUACAUAGGAUUUGGUUUCAUUUCUUCUUAGUA